This is a regulatory RNA element of 400 nucleotides. It matches the Rfam family "Deltacoronavirus 3'UTR". The record is from Rfam.
UAUUGACAUUGAAGUUCUUGGUUUUGUAACAUUUAUACACUAUUUCUGGCACUACCGUCCACGUAGAUGCCAGCAUGUUAUACCGCAAGAGAGCCAGUCAGAGGGCGCUAUCAUGCAAACUAGGGCUGGCUACUCUUGCACAGAAUCACAUCUCGAUAAGUGUCAGUGCAAGAAGGACACUUAUACCAUUUAAUAUGCCGAGGCCACGCGGAGUACGAUCGAGGGUACAGCAUAAUCUCAACUUUUGUUGAAACUCAUUUAUAAUACUAUAUGGAGAAAGUUAAAGGACUGUACUACUUUGUAGGUGUAGCAGUCGCCCAGUGGGAAAGCGCCAUAUAGAUUACAAAUGAGUGGGGAACAAAUUAGGGGAAAUUAAAUUGGCUUAUAAGGGGGAUGGAGC